GAGCUAUGGUGCCUAGGACUCCCCCAUUGCUCUGACACCACGAGGAGACAAAACACAGGGCGGUACUUUUGACGCUGGCCCUGGAGUUGUGCAUCAUCGAUUGGGUAUUUUACGUGAAGCAAGUCCUGCUCUGAUACCAUUCUCUCACGGGCAUAGAGUCUCGCGCCGCACUGCGCCCGUGCGGCGCCCCGGGAGCCCUCCCGCUUACCUCCGAGGCAAGCCUCGCCAUCCCGUACCACACUGGUUUCGCCCUGCCAUGGGCUCAUCAGGAGAGCGCCCCAACUCUCGACCAGUUGUGCCCGAGCAGCACCCUACCCUGCCUGCAUGCAGACUUUGCAUAGGGUAAUGGUACCACUGGGGCAGAACGCCCUAAUCCGCUAAGCCGCCUCAACCCACGCAGGUUGAAACGCAGCUAGGUACGCAUCUUUGAUGUUGGCUUACACGGCUACGGAAUUUGUCCGUAACAUCCUCCCCCACUCAAAACCAGGCGCGUCCUCGUGCCGAGGGAAGUCGACUCGCCCUUGGACCGUCCUUGCUUUACGCCCCACUUCGACUCACUCCUCUAGCUUUAUGUAGCCAUGCUUGCCCCCGAAUGAACGCUCCCAUACCCGACUCGGUGCCUGAGGACUGCGCCAUUGGUUUGACACCGGAUGAAGGAACGAUGCCUAGGGCUCCGCCAUUGCUCGGACAUCACGAGGAGCUAUGGUGCCUAGGACUCCCCCAUUGCUUUGACACCACGAGGAGACAAAACACAGGGCGAUACUUUUGACGCUGGCCCUGGAGUUGUGCAUCAUCGAGUGAACUGCUGGGCAUUGAUGUAAAGCAAGUCUGCUCUGAUACCACUCUGUCACGGGCAUAGAGUCUCGCGCAGCACUGCGCCCGUGCGGCGCCCCGGGAGCCCUCCCGCUUGGCUCCGAGGCAAGCCUCGCCAUACCGUACCACACUGGUUUCGCCCUGCUAUGGGCUCAUCAGGAGAGCGGCCCAGCUCUUGACCAGUUGUGCCCGAGCAGCACACUACCCUGCCUGCAUGCAAACUUUGCAUAGGGUAAUGGUACCACUGGGGCAGAACGCCCUAACCCGCUAAGCCGCCUCAACCCACGCAGGUUGAAACGCAGCUAGGUACGCAUCUUUGAUGUUGGCCUACACGGUUACGGAAUUUGUCCGUAA
This 1167-nucleotide long non-coding RNA is filed under the name Jatropha curcas. Its description in RNAcentral is "long non-coding RNA (JCUR_LNC000299)". The record is from RNAcentral. Lineage: Eukaryota; Viridiplantae; Streptophyta; Magnoliopsida; Malpighiales; Euphorbiaceae.